CGGACAGAAGGGAGCUUGCUCCCGGAUGUUAGCGGCGGACGGGUGAGUAACACGUGGGUAACCUGUCCUGUAAGACUGGGAUAACUCCGGGAAACCGGAGCUAAUACCGGUUAGUUCCUUGAACCGCAUGGUUAAUGGGUGAAAGACGGUUUCGGCUGUCACUUACAGAUGGACCCGCGGCGCAUUAGCUAGUUGGUGGGGUAAUGGCUAAUCACGGCCACAAUACGUAACCGACCUGAGAGGGUGAUCGGCCACACUGGGAAUGACACAUGUCCCACUUUCCUACGGGGGGCAGCAGUAGGGAAUCUUCCGCAAUGGUUGAAAGUCUGACGGAGCAACGCCGCGUGAGUGAUGAAGGGUUUUCGGAUCGUAAAGCUCUGUUGUUAGGGAAGAACAAGUGCGAGAGUAACUGCUCGCACCUUGACGGUACCUAACCAGAAAGCCACGGCUCCACGAUCCACCAGCCGCGGUAAAGCGGGGGUGGCACGCGUUGUCCGGAAUUAUUGGGCGUAAAGGGCUCGCAGGCGGUUUCUUAAGUCUGAUGUGAAAGCCCCCCCCUCAACCGGGGAGGGUCAUUGGAAACUGGGAAACUUGAGUGCAGAAGAGGGGAGUGGAAUCCCACGUGUAGCGGUGAAAUGCGUAGAGAUGUGGAGGAACACCAGUGGCGAAGGCGACUCUCUGGCCUGUAACUGACGCUGAGGAGCGAAAGCGUGGGGAGCGAACAGGAUUAGAUACCCUGGUAGUCCACGCCGUAAACGAUGAGUGCUAAGUGUUAGGGGGUUUCCGCCCCUUAGUGCUGCAGCUAACGUUUUAAGCACUCCGCCUGGGGAGUACGCCCGCAAGACUGAAACUCAAAGGAAUUGAACGGGGGGCCGCACAAGCGGUGGAGCAUGUGGUUUAAUUCGAAGCAACGCGAAGAACCUUACCAGGUCUUGACAUUCUCUGACAACCCUAGAGAUAGGGCUUUCCCUUCGGGGACAGAGUGACAGGUGGUGCAUGGUUGUCGUCAGCUCGUGUCGUGAGCUGUUGGGUUAAGUCCCGCAACGAGCGCAACCCUUGAUCUUAGUUACCAGCAUUCAGUUGGGCACUCUAAGGUGACUGGGGGUGACAAACCGGAGGAAGGUGGGGAUAACGUCAAAUCAUCAUGCCCCUUAUAACCUGGGCAACACACGUGCUACAAUGGACAGA
RNAcentral lists this ribosomal RNA (1188 nucleotides) under Bacillus safensis. RNAcentral describes it as "bacterial SSU rRNA". It matches the Rfam family "Bacterial small subunit ribosomal RNA", at positions 67 to 1238 of the family's 1533-position model. The record is from RNAcentral. Lineage: Bacteria; Bacillati; Bacillota; Bacilli; Caryophanales; Bacillaceae.